AUACAGAGUUCCAGGAACUGCCCAGCUGAGUUCCAGACCUCCAGCGUGAAGGAAGGCUCCCCAGCCCUCCCAAACGGGACAGCGCUGCCCCAUCCAUGGAGACCAGCCCCAAACGCAGAAUUUAGGGAAUUAAUCCACUUCAGAAUCCAUCUCCAGGGCUUUCCAGCCUGAUCCAGCCAGUCUGUCCAAACAGGACAUGGAUAGCAAGCUGGGACAGAAAUGCUCUACCCAGUGCUGAUAGAGAGUGUGGAAAGUGCCAUAUUCAAACACCACACCUGCCCAAGGAAUGCAGCGUCACCUGCGCUCAUUCCCCGAGCAAACCCCGCCAGAGCUGCCUGUGUUUACACUUCACAGGUGUCAAAAAGGUGCUUACAAGCUCGGGGGGCUCUGAGCUGGGCUGCCUCUUCCUCAGAGAGGAAAACCUCUGCUGACUCCGCACUGAAAACCUUCGGAAGGACUCUCUGCUCCGGGAUGCAAAGUGCCUG
Melospiza melodia melodia is the source of this 485-nucleotide long non-coding RNA. RefSeq lists it as uncharacterized. The record is from RefSeq and is a predicted model, not a curated record. NCBI's taxonomy places the organism in Eukaryota, Metazoa, Chordata, Aves, Passeriformes, Passerellidae. The transcript is spliced from 3 exons.